GUCUGUAGGGGAAGGUGUCUGUAGGGGAUGGUGUCUGUAAGGGAAGGUGUCUGUAGGGGAAGGUGUCUGUAGGGGAAGAUGUCUGUAGGGGGACGUGUGUGUCUGUAGGGGAACGUGUGUGUCUGUAGGGGAAUGUGUCUGUCUGUAAGGGAAGGUGUGUGUCUGUAGAGGAAGGUAUCUGUAGGGGAAGGUGUCUGUCUGUAGGUGAAGAUGUCUUUAGGGGAAUGUGUGUGUCUGUAGGGGAAGAUGUGUGUCUGUAGGGGAAGGUGUCUGUCUGUAGGUGAAGAUGGCUGUAGGGGAAGGUGUGUGUCUGUAGGGGAAAAUGUGUGUCUGUAGGGGAAGGUGUCUGUCUGUAGUUGAAGAUGUAUGUAGGGAAAGGUGUCUGUCGGAAGGGGAAGGUGUGUGUCUACAGGGGAAGGUGUGUGUCUGUAGGGGAAGGUGUGUGUCUAUAGGGGAAGGUGUGUGUCUGUGGGGGAAGGUGUGUGUCUGUAGGGGAAGGUGUGUGUCUGUGGGGAAGGUGUCUGUCUGUAGAGGAAGGUGUCUGUAGGGGAAGGUGUCUGUCUGUAGGGGAAGGUGUCUGUAGGGGAAGGUGUCUGUCUGUAGGGGAAGGUGUCUGUGGGGAAGGUGUGUGUCUGUGGGGAAGGUGUGUGUCUACAGGGGAAGGUGUGUGUCUGUGGGGAAGGUGUGUGUCUGUAGGGGAAGGUGUGUGUCUGUAGGUGAAGAUGUGUGUCUGUAGGGGAAGGUGUGUGUCUGUAGGGGAAGGUGUGUGUCUGUAGGGGAAGGUGUGUGUCUGUAGGGGAAGGUGUGUGUCUGUAGAGGAAAGUGUGUGUCUGUAGGGGAAGGUGUGUGUAAGUCAGGUGAGUAAUGUGAGUGGCAGCUAGCCUAUCUCUCCUCCUCCUCUGUGGUAGCUACAUCACCAUUAUCCCUCCUCUCCUCCCCCUCUGUGGUAGCUACAACACCAUUAUCCCUCCUCUCCUCCCCCUCUGAAGUAGCUACAACAUCAUUAUCCCUGCUCUCCUCCCCCUCUGUGGUAGCUACAACAUAAUUUUGCCUCCUCUCCUCCUCCUCUGAAGUAGCUACAACAUCAUUAUCCCUGCUCUCCUCCCCCUCUGUGGUAGCUACAACAUCAUUAUCCCUCCUCUCCUCCUCCUCUGUGGUAGCUACAACAUCAUUUUGCCUCCUCUCCUCCCCC
Molecule: long non-coding RNA, 1192 nt
Organism: Oncorhynchus tshawytscha (Chinook salmon)
Lineage: Eukaryota; Metazoa; Chordata; Actinopteri; Salmoniformes; Salmonidae
Source: Ensembl